Molecule: ribosomal RNA, 253 nt
Filed under: uncultured bacterium
Lineage: Bacteria
Description: partial 16S ribosomal RNA
Rfam family: Bacterial small subunit ribosomal RNA
Source: RNAcentral
UACGGAGGGAGCUAGCGUUGUUCGGAAUUACUGGGCGUAAAGCGCGCGUAGGCGGCUUUGUAAGUUAGAGGUGAAAGCCCGGGGCUCAACCCCGGAACAGCCUUUAAGACUGCAUCGCUAGAAUCCGGGAGAGGUGAGUGGAAUUCCGAGUGUAGAGGUGAAAUUCGUAGAUAUUCGGAAGAACACCAGUGGCGAAGGCGGCGACCUGGUCCUUGACUGACGCUGAGGCGCGAAAGCGUGGGGAGCAAACAGG